Molecule: long non-coding RNA, 1573 nt
Filed under: Homo sapiens (human)
Lineage: Eukaryota; Metazoa; Chordata; Mammalia; Primates; Hominidae
Description: non-protein coding lnc-STN1-2:6
Source: RNAcentral
CGAGGGUUCGCGUGAGCGGAGCACGGGGCUCGGGGUGCGGGGGGCUGGUGUGAUGGACGCAUUUGUUCUUCGGUCCCUGACGAUUGUUUCUCAUUUGCCCUCCAAGCCCCAAAUCCUGUCAGUCCACGGCCUUGAUGGAGCGGCCCCCGUGGGACGACCCUGUUGAUUGUGCUAGCGGAUGUUGUCUCCAUUCUGGAUCUGGGAAAAACUGUGGAGUGAAAGCCGGACCUGUUAGGGUUGGGACCUGAAAGCGGACUUUUUCGCUCUCAGACGGGCCCCAGGAAUUUCAUGUUUAACAGAGGUGUCUUCAAGGAGAUGAAACAAUUCAGAAUGACCUAGGCAAUGGGGUAAUUCCUAAGGAACAAGCUAUUCAUUCAUACAGCAUGGACGAAUAUUAAAUGCAUGUUGCUGAGUGAAAGAAGCCAGAAUGAUAAGGCUACAUCCUGGAAAAGUUUAUAUUCUGGAAAAGGCAAAACUUAUAGAGACAGAAACAAAUCAGCCAGUUGUUGCUGGGGUUUGGGAGAGAAGAAUGUUGACUAUGUGAAGAACAAGGGAUCUUGGGGGGCAUCUAUUCCAUAUGCUACUGUAGGGGUGGAUGCAUGAUACUAUCAUUUGUGGAAAACCAUAGAACUUUACAAAACUAACAGUGAACCUUAAUGUCUGCAAAAUUUUACAAAAUCAACUAGGAGGCUGGGGGAUCCCAGGAUGAAAUACAGGCAAUGACAAAAGAGCCUAACUCUAUUACACAUUUAUAACAUAACCGCACCGAAGAGGACUGGUAUUCUAUAACUGUGGAAAUAAUGGAAACUGGAAAACUGAAGACAAAAGGAACUGUACUUAGCACUAUACUCUAGUUGGUAAAGGCGUUUCUCAAGGGGUACCAGUUAACAAUUCUGAGACUGCUGUACAUGUAUGCAGAGACUGAACAAAUAAGUAAAUGGCUGGUACAUGCUCACUCUCAGGGAGGGAGGCCACAGAUAAACAAGAGGAAGAGGCUCUAAUGUCAUGUGUGGUUGUGGAUUAGAACCAGAAACAUAAAUAUGAACUCAUGUUUAGAUUAAUAUAGAUAUUAAUGGAUUGAUAUAGAAAUAAUGAUGAUAUGGGUAUAUAUACAGGUUAGUAUACAGUCAUAUAUUUCUUAUCCCUAUCCACUGAGAGGGCCUAGAAACAACAAUACUCCAGUAGCAACACACACAUCUCGUGCCCAUAUCUUGAUUUCUUUUGCCAUUUCCUAACAAAAGGAGCCAGGACUUCUUGGAGAAAUGGCUGAUUCUAAGACUGGGUCAGAGAGUAUACCAGAUGACGCUGGCACAUCUUCUACUGCUAGAAAGUAAGGAAAUGCUCAAAAAAUAAAACCACGGAGAUAUUUCAAAGGAACACAGAAGCCAAGUGGAACAGCUCCCAGUGGCCAAAGCUGGAAAAAUUGGGGCAAAAAAAAAAAAAAAAGUAUUAGGUUAUAAUCCAAAAUAUAAAAUAAAUAAUCACCAGCCCGUACUAAUGUGCAUAAAUUAUUGAAUAAAUAAGUAAAUGGGUGAAAAGAGAAAACUCUCUCCCAUACAAAGGAAGCCCAAAU